RNAcentral lists this ribosomal RNA (631 nucleotides) under Serratia liquefaciens. Its description in RNAcentral is "bacterial SSU rRNA". It matches the Rfam family "Bacterial small subunit ribosomal RNA", at positions 899 to 1529 of the family's 1533-position model. Lineage: Bacteria; Pseudomonadati; Pseudomonadota; Gammaproteobacteria; Enterobacterales; Yersiniaceae. The record is from RNAcentral.
ACUCAAAGGAAUUGACGGGGGCCCGCACAAGCGGUGGAGCAUGUGGUUUAAUUCGAUGCAACGCGAAGAACCUUACCUACUCUUGACAUCCAGAGAAUUCGCUAGAGAUAGCUUAGUGCCUUCGGGAACUCUGAGACAGGUGCUGCAUGGCUGUCGUCAGCUCGUGUUGUGAAAUGUUGGGUUAAGUCCCGCAACGAGCGCAACCCUUAUCCUUUGUUGCCAGCRCGUAAUGGYGGGAACUCAAAGGAGACUGCCGGUGAUAAACCGGAGGAAGGUGGGGAUGACGUCAAGUCAUCAUGGCCCUUACGAGUAGGGCUACACACGUGCUACAAUGGCGUAUACAAAGAGAAGCGAACUCGCGAGAGCAAGCGGACCUCAUAAAGUACGUCGUAGUCCGGAUCGGAGUCUGCAACUCGACUCCGUGAAGUCGGAAUCGCUAGUAAUCGUAGAUCAGAAUGCUACGGUGAAUACGUUCCCGGGCCUUGUACACACCGCCCGUCACACCAUGGGAGUGGGUUGCAAAAGAAGUAGGUAGCUUAACCUUCGGGAGGGCGCUUACCACUUUGUGAUUCAUGACUGGGGUGAAGUCGUAACAAGGUAACCGUAGGGGAACCUGCGGCUGGAUCACCUC